GAUGAACGCUGGCGGCGUGCCUAAUACAUGCAAGUCGAGCGAACGGACGAGAAGCUUGCUUCUCUGAUGUUAGCGGCGGACGGGUGAGUAACACGUGGAUAACCUACCUAUAAGACUGGGAUAACUUCGGGAAACCGGAGCUAAUACCGGAUGAUAUUUUGAACCGCAUGGUUCAAAAGUGAAAGACGGUCUUGCUGUCACUUAUAGAUGGAUCCGCGCUGCAUUAGCUAGUUGGUAAGGUAACGGCUUACCAAGGCAACGAUGCAUAGCCGACCUGAGAGGGUGAUCGGCCACACGGGAACUGAGACACGGGCCAGACUCCUACGAGAGGCAGCAGUAGGGAAUCUUCCGCAAUGGGCGAAAGCCUGACGGAGCAACGCCGCGUGAGUGAUGAAGGUCUUCGGAUCGUAAAACUCUGUUAUUAGGGAAGAACAGAUGUGUAAGUAACUGUGCACAUCUUGACGGUACCUAAUCAGAAAGCCACGGCUAACUACGUG
This 497-nucleotide ribosomal RNA is filed under the name uncultured bacterium. Its description in RNAcentral is "partial 16S ribosomal RNA". It matches the Rfam family "Bacterial small subunit ribosomal RNA", at positions 28 to 507 of the family's 1533-position model. The record is from RNAcentral.